This is an RNA transcript of Manihot esculenta (cassava), 1677 nucleotides long. RefSeq lists it as uncharacterized. The record is from RefSeq and is a predicted model, not a curated record. The transcript has 4 exons. Lineage: Eukaryota; Viridiplantae; Streptophyta; Magnoliopsida; Malpighiales; Euphorbiaceae.
CUCUCUCUCUCUCUCUCUCUCUCUCUCUCUCUACUCUUUUCCAUUUCCAUUUUCAUUUUCAUUUCCAUUUCCAUUUCCAUUUUCAUUUCCAUUUCCAUUCCUUUCUACAAAUGAGACAAACGAAAUUGUAAGCAAAUUGUUGAUUAUGAUACCCAAAAUCAAAAAUUAGUAUUAUAGUAGGGAGGUCCUCCAAUUGGAUUGGAAGUGGAAGAGAGAUGUCGCUGAGGAUUAAGGCUGUGGUAGACAAGUUCGUUCAGGAGCUGAAGGAAGCUCUGGAUGCUGAUAUUCAAGACAGAAUUAUGAAGGAGAGAGAGAUGCAAAGUUAUAUUGAAGAGCGUGAACGCGAAGUCGCAGAGCGCGAAGCUGCUUGGAAGGCUGAGCUCUCUCGUCGCGAGAACCUUGGAUUUGACUGCUGGUUGGCAUCUGUUGGAAAGUUCAAAUUACACACCUUUACUAGUUUUUUUAUUGAGGCAUGGAGUGCUGCGCAGCUAAUAAAUGAAGUCUCUUUCUUGGCCGAGAUUGCUCGUCAAGAAGCAAGGCUGAAGAUGGAAAAAGAAAAUCUUGAGAAAGAGAAAAGCGUUCUAAUGGGAACUGCAUCAAAUCAAGAUAAUCAAGAUGGAGCUCUUGAAAUCACUGUAAGUGGUGAAAAGUAUAGAUGCUUGAGAUUUGCAAAGGCAAAGAAAUAGGCUUUAGGAAGAAAAAAAAACCAUAUCCUGUUCUACUUGGCCAAAACCAUAUCCUGUUCUACUUGGCCAUUGGCUAGAACCAAAAAGAGAGGACAAGUGGGCAAGACUUCACAAAUGUAAUAUGCAUUCUUUCUUUCCUUUAGCCACUCUGCUAGUAGGCAUUUGAUUUGUUUCAAACACAAAAUAUGUACAUGCAAGUGAGCGUCAGUUCUGCAGAAAGUGAUGAUGCUCCAAAGCCAUGUUCUUUAAAACCAAUAAUGAAAAGGUCAGUGAUUUAUGUGAUGUUUACAAUCGGAGACUUCCAAAGUUCGUAUGCAAGAUGAAGUUGUCGUAGUCUGGUGAAAGGUGGUUCGAUGGUAGUUCAUGGAGCAAGCCUUAGAAGGGGCAAUAGGUCACCAAAGAACAAUUCCUCAUUUGGAAGCCUUCAUUUUGUUCUAAGUCUCCCUUGACCCAAAGCUUAGUGGUUUGUAGCAAUUCUUUCUUGAAGCGACUGUCCAUCCUCCAUCCCCGUGAGAUCUACAUGUGCUUUAAGUUUGAGCAUGAUCUUCUUUGUCUGGGGACGAUAGUUUUUUAUGUAGGUUUAUGAGUUCUUGUCGCUAUGGGCUUCAAUGUGUGUUUGAUGGGCGUUAAAGGCUACAGUAGCAAGGAGGCGAGUUUUUAUCAAUCUUUUAUCUCCCUUUCCUAGGAUAGCCAGAGUUACCAAGAAAACUGGUGCAGUUAGUUUUUAUCUUUGGAUCCUUUGUCGGAUCUAGUUAUGUUUUUUGAGUUCUAGUGCUCAAAAUUUUUAUGGGAUUUCCUUGGUUUAUAUAUGUAAUUGGGCCUUAGUUGUUUUAUGAUGUUUCUAAAUGUAGGCCUUUGGCCAUGCAUUUUAUUUCCUUUAAUGGAUAUUUGUGUUUGAAAAAAGAAAUAUUUACAUGAAAAAUAGAAGAAGAGGAGAGAGAAGAGAGAUGGUGGAGAGGGAAAGAGAGGAAGUAAAAUUAGGGUUAUUUUG